AAGAAAGUGGCAGAGUGGUUAUGUUACUGGCUUGAAACCAGUAUACGGGGGUUCAAUUCCCUCCUUUCUCG
RNAcentral lists this transfer RNA (71 nucleotides) under Acanthurus xanthopterus (yellowfin surgeonfish). Its description in RNAcentral is "tRNA-Ser". It matches the Rfam family "tRNA". Rfam says of the family: Transfer RNA (tRNA) molecules are approximately 80 nucleotides in length. Their secondary structure includes four short double-helical elements and three loops (D, anti-codon, and T loops). The record is from RNAcentral. RNAcentral also lists the same sequence under 5 other names. Lineage: Eukaryota; Metazoa; Chordata; Actinopteri; Acanthuriformes; Acanthuridae.